Molecule: ribosomal RNA, 466 nt
Filed under: Vreelandella stevensii
Lineage: Bacteria; Pseudomonadati; Pseudomonadota; Gammaproteobacteria; Oceanospirillales; Halomonadaceae
Description: partial 16S ribosomal RNA
Rfam family: Bacterial small subunit ribosomal RNA
Source: RNAcentral
CCUACGGGCGGCUGCAGUGGGGAAUAUUGGACAAUGGGCGAAAGCCUGAUCCAGCCAUGCCGCGUGUGUGAAGAAGGCCUUCGGGUUGUAAAGCACUUUCAGUGGGGAAGAAAGCCUUGGGGCUAAUACCCUCGAGGAAGGACAUCACCCACAGAAGAAGCACCGGCUAACUCCGUGCCAGCAGCCGCGGUGAAUACGGAGGGUGCGAGCGUUAAUCGGAAUUACUGGGCGUAAAGCGCGCGUAGGCGGUCUGAUAAGCCGGUUGUGAAAGCCCCGGGCUCAACCUGGGAACGGCAUCCGGAACUGUCAGGCUAGAGUGCAGGAGAGGAAGGUAGAAUUCCCGGUGUAGCGGUGAAAUGCGUAGAGAUCGGGAGGAAUACCAGUGGCGAAGGCGGCCUUCUGGACUGACACUGACGCUGAGGUGCGAAAGCGUGGGUAGCAAACAGGAUUAGAUACCCCGGUAGUC